This 253-nucleotide ribosomal RNA is filed under the name uncultured bacterium. RNAcentral describes it as "partial 16S ribosomal RNA". It matches the Rfam family "Bacterial small subunit ribosomal RNA", at positions 524 to 776 of the family's 1533-position model. The record is from RNAcentral.
UCCGAAGGGGGCAAUCGUUGUACGGAAUUACUGGGCGUAAAGCGAACGCAGGUGGAUUUAUAAGUCUGCGGUGAAAUCCCGGUGCUCAACCUCGGAAUUGCCUUUGAGACUGUCUAUCUUGAGUACGGGAGAGGUGAGUGGAAUUCCUAGUGUAGAGGUGAAAUUCGUAGAUAUUAGGAAGAACACCAGUGGCGAAGGCGGCUCUCUGGCCCGGUACUGACGCUCAUGUGCGAAAGCGUGGGGAGCAAACAGG